This 253-nucleotide ribosomal RNA is filed under the name uncultured bacterium. RNAcentral describes it as "partial 16S ribosomal RNA". It matches the Rfam family "Bacterial small subunit ribosomal RNA", at positions 524 to 776 of the family's 1533-position model. The record is from RNAcentral.
UACGAAGGGGGCUAGCGUUGCUCGGAAUCACUGGGCGUAAAGCGCACGUAGGCGGCUUGUUAAGUCAGGGGUGAAAUCCUGGAGCUCAACUCCAGAACUACCUUUGAUACUGGCGAGCUUGAGUUCGGGAGAGGUGAGUGGAACUGCGAGUGUAGAGGUGAAAUUCGUAGAUAUUCGCAAGAACACCAGUGGCGAAGGCGGCUCACUGGCCCGAUACUGACGCUGAGGUGCGAAAGCCAGGGGAGCAAACGGG